Molecule: unclassified non-coding RNA, 149 nt
Filed under: soil metagenome
Description: partial internal transcribed spacer 1
Source: RNAcentral
CCGAGUUUACAACUCCCAAACCCCCUGUGAACAUACCACUUGUUGCCUCGGCGGAUCAGCCCGCUCCCGGUAAAACGGGACGGCCCGCCAGAGGACCCCUAAACUCUGUUUCUAUAUGUAACUUCUGAGUAAAAACCAUAAAUAAAUCA